Molecule: ribosomal RNA, 534 nt
Filed under: Salmonella enterica subsp. enterica serovar Agona str. 392869-1
Lineage: Bacteria; Pseudomonadati; Pseudomonadota; Gammaproteobacteria; Enterobacterales; Enterobacteriaceae
Description: bacterial SSU rRNA
Rfam family: Bacterial small subunit ribosomal RNA
Source: RNAcentral
AAAUUGAAGAGUUUGAUCAUGGCUCAGAUUGAACGCUGGCGGCAGGCCUAACACAUGCAAGUCGAACGGUAACAGGAAGCAGCUUGCUGCUUUGCUGACGAGUGGCGGACGGGUGAGUAAUGUCUGGGAAACUGCCUGAUGGAGGGGGAUAACUACUGGAAACGGUGGCUAAUACCGCAUAACGUCGCAAGACCAAAGAGGGGGACCUUCGGGCCUCUUGCCAUCAGAUGUGCCCAGAUGGGAUUAGCUUGUUGGUGAGGUAACGGCUCACCAAGGCGACGAUCCCUAGCUGGUCUGAGAGGAUGACCAGCCACACUGGAACUGAGACACGGUCCAGACUCCUACGGGAGGCAGCAGUGGGGAAUAUUGCACAAUGGGCGCAAGCCUGAUGCAGCCAUGCCGCGUGUAUGAAGAAGGCCUUCGGGUUGUAAAGUACUUUCAGCGGGGAGGAAGGUGUUGUGGUUAAUAACCACAGCAAUUGACGUUACCCGCAGAAGAAGCACCGGCUAACUCCGUGCCAGCAGCCGCGGUAAU